AAGGUUUUAGCUUAAUGAAAGCAUCUGGGUUGCGUUCAGAAGAUGUGAGAUAGAGUCUUGCAAAUCUUA
Molecule: transfer RNA, 69 nt
Filed under: Mustelus griseus
Lineage: Eukaryota; Metazoa; Chordata; Chondrichthyes; Carcharhiniformes; Triakidae
Description: tRNA-Ala
Rfam family: tRNA
About the family: Transfer RNA (tRNA) molecules are approximately 80 nucleotides in length.
Source: RNAcentral